UCACCAGCUUUAAAAAAUCGUGUCUACGUGCAAUUUAUGUAUAGUUGACCGGGAAAUUAAAGCAGCGAUCACUUGGACUAUUCCGCAGCACCCCUCUCACAUUGGUACAUCCCCCCAGGUAUUCAUUGUCUUCUACAGUAGAGCGGGACAUUUGAUUUACUCUCAGCGGAAUUGACCGGAGAAGGCAUCAGUUCAUGCACUGCACUGGCCCGCACCAUGAUUAGUAUAAGGCACAUUUCACGAAGCAGAACGCAGUCUUCAGAGAUAUCCACGUGAACGCUGUGAUACGUCUGACCUUCAGUCCGAAGCUGAAACUCAGACCAGUCUUAAAAGAAAGCACAAACCAAAUCCCCUGUACACAUAUACGGACUCAGAGGAUGAGCAGCCUACAAAAAAACGGUUUCCCCAGGCCCCUCGAGUGAAAAUACCAGCCCUCAUCACUCCGCAGUCUGCCCCCCAGCCCACUGAUAGCAACCAUCAUAAUGCCCCACCCAGCUCCCGGCACCUUUCGCCACUCCGGCACAAACCGACACAGCUUUGCGAUCUCCCCAGCAUGCAGAGUCUGAUGUCUUCCCUAUAGAUGAUUCCAGAGACUCUGUGAGGCCACUAUUGCAAGGUGAGACGCUUUGCGUUGAUUGGUGCUGCUGAACCACACUGGAGGUGCGAGUCCGCCGUGUAAUGGUUUAUGCCAUUACAAAGGAGCUGGCCUCUGUACUCAACUGGGCAGGGGAAAAAAAACCAAGGACCAGACAAAGCAAAAAAGGGCAUUUAAAGAGACAGCACUGUGCAGAUGCAUAUUUGAUGGCCUGGCGCAGCAGGUAGGGGCGAACUCUGUCUGAGUUGGUCUUUGCUCAAGCAGUCCAGAAAUGGCUCAGAUAUGAUCCAGAUCGUACGGGUGGCGCGCAGGACGCCCAUCAUCCAUCCCCAUCCCGGAGUAAAUAAUAAAAAGUGACGUGAAACAUAGAAAUGUAAAUAGGAAACUUUGUCUUUUAAUAAAGUACUUUGCAAAUGA
Pelmatolapia mariae (spotted tilapia) is the source of this 1012-nucleotide long non-coding RNA. RefSeq lists it as uncharacterized. Lineage: Eukaryota; Metazoa; Chordata; Actinopteri; Cichliformes; Cichlidae. The transcript is spliced from 7 exons. The record is from RefSeq and is a predicted model, not a curated record.